GAUGAACGCUGGCGGCGUGCCUAAUACAUGCAAGUCGAGCGAACAGACGAGGAGCUUGCUCCUCUCACGUUAGCGGCGGACGGGUGAGUAACACGUGGAUACCCUCCCUAUAUGACUGGGAUAAUUUCGGGACUCCGGAGCUAAUCCCGGAAAAUCUAUUGAAACGUAUGGUUGAAUAGUGAAAGACGGUUUUGCUGCCACUUAUCGAUGGAUCCGCGCAGCAUUAGUUAGUUGGUAAGGUAAAGGCGUACCAAGGCAACGAUGCGUAGCCGACCUGAGGGAGUGAUCGGCCACACUGGAACGGAGACACGGUCCUGACGCCUACGAGAUGGAGCAGUAGGGUAUGGGCCGCAAUAGGAGAAAACCUGACAGAGCAACGCCGCGCGAGUUAUAGAGGUCCUCGGAUCGUAAAACUCUGUUAUUAGGGAUGAACAAAUGUGUAAGAAAAUAUGCACGUCUUGACGGUACCUAAUCAGAAAGCCACGGCUAACUACGUG
RNAcentral lists this ribosomal RNA (497 nucleotides) under uncultured bacterium. RNAcentral's name for it is "partial 16S ribosomal RNA". It matches the Rfam family "Bacterial small subunit ribosomal RNA", at positions 28 to 507 of the family's 1533-position model. The record is from RNAcentral.